Molecule: ribosomal RNA, 466 nt
Filed under: uncultured Alphaproteobacteria bacterium
Lineage: Bacteria; Pseudomonadati; Pseudomonadota; Alphaproteobacteria
Description: bacterial SSU rRNA
Rfam family: Bacterial small subunit ribosomal RNA
Source: RNAcentral
GAGUUUGAUCUUGGCUCAGAACGAACGCUGGCGGCAGGCUUAACACAUGCAAGUCGAGCGCCCCGCAAGGGGAGCGGCAGACGGGUGAGUAACGCGUGGGAAUCUACCCAACUCUACGGAAUAACCCAGGGAAACUUGGACUAAUACCGUAUACGCCCUCCGGGGAAAGAUUUAUCGGAGUUGGAUGAGCCCGCGUUGGAUUAGCUAGUUGGUGGGGUAAUGGCCUACCAAGGCGACGAUCCAUAGCUGGUCUGAGAGGAUGAUCAGCCACAUUGGGACUGAGACACGGCCCAAACUCCUACGGGAGGCAGCAGUGGGGAAUAUUGGACAAUGGGCGAAAGCCUGAUCCAGCCAUGCCGCGUGAGUGAUGAAGGCCCUAGGGUUGUAAAGCUCUUUCAACGGUGAAGAUAAUGACGGUAACCGUAGAAGAAGCCCCGGCUAACUUCGUGCCAGCCGCCGCCGUAAG